RNAcentral lists this long non-coding RNA (3070 nucleotides) under Sorghum bicolor (sorghum). Its description in RNAcentral is "long non-coding RNA (SBIC_LNC017826)". The record is from RNAcentral. Lineage: Eukaryota; Viridiplantae; Streptophyta; Magnoliopsida; Poales; Poaceae.
GUAGUUAAAAGAUAGAACAGUCUAGCCAAGUGCCAUGUCUCUUAUUCUUGAUCAGCUAUAGCUCUGGAGUUUUUGCAGAUUUUCAAAUAAAACUCAGAGAUUCCUUGUAUGACUCUCUAAAUCUUUCUUUUGUGGUAUUUCUGGAUCCUUACCAAGGCAGUGAUGGUAUAUGCCUUCUCUCAAGGUAUGUGGUAUUUGUGGUAUAAGUCAUAGUGACAUUGCCUUCUCUCUCACCCUACUCUAAUAAGGCUUUAAUAUCUGGAGCUCAUAGGUGGGAGAUAAAGUAUACAUACUUACAAGACAUUUAUUGUAUAGUCAAACCAUGGAUCCAAAGAAACAAAUCAAUAAGCCAAAUCAAGAUGUGCAUGUGUGGCAAAUGAAUGGUGUAUGGUGAUGAUGGUGAUAACAAUGGUGAAAGUCUAAUUCUACUUUUGCUCUUUUGAGGGGUUACAUACCUUCCUUGCUUUUUGAAACUUUAUGAGGAGAAUGAGAUGCUCUAUCUUUCAUUUUUCUUUCCUCUCAGGUGGGUAUCCUGUACCCCUAAUUCUACUGUCGGACACUUGUCCAUUUUUACCUCUCAUCUCACUCUUUUUUCUUUUCUUUCGUGGUUCCGGGCACUUGCCCCUUUUUAUUUCCUCGUAUAUUUUUUCUCUCCUUUUUUUAGAGCACUCAUCUUAUGAGAUAAUAUAGCAAGUGGUAGUAACAAGAUAACUUGAGCAUUUAUUUCACAAGGAAAAAUAGAAAUAUUUUUGGUUAUUCUCUCCCGGAUUAGGAGUAGGAUUUUUUUGGGUAGUUCUGGAGAUGGAAAUGAGUGGAUAUAUGUGGAUGGUACUUCCGGAGUAGAAGUAGCAUAUAUGAGUGAAUGUGCAAGUGAAAUCUUGAUUUAACCACAUGACAAGCUCCUAAGGGUCUACACAGCUUGACCACACUCAAUGCUCAUAAGCAGUAAAUAGUAAAUGUGUGGCUCAAAGUCUAGCAAGCAUGUAUAUAUGGCAGUGGUAGGAAUUUAAACUUUUCAUCAUACAGGAACUCAUCAUGCAAUAUUUUAAAGAUUUUUCAAAGAUAAAAUUCUCCAGAAUUCUAGCAUCUCUAGGAAUAGAUAAACAGCAGCUCAACCUUCCCAUAUCAUAUCCGUUAACAACUUAGAUUUCAGAUCAAGUUUUCAUCCCACAAGUUUAGAUCUAGAGCAAGCUUUAAAUUAUAACAUUUAUGUCUAAACUUGAGAGAGAACUUCAAAUUUGCAAAUUAGGCAGAAUAACUAUUCAUCAUAUCCAUGCUAGAGUUUUAUUAUUAAGAUUCAGAUUAGCAUAGCCACUUUAUUUAUUUAUUAAAAACACUAAGCAAAAGAUAUAUAUAAGCACAAAAUCUUUGUUUGGUUUUUCAUAGUUUAUGUAUUUUAAUAUUCUAAUAUAAUAUAAGUAUAAAGAUAGGUAGAAAUACUUAGCGAGAUAAAUGGGGGUGCUCUCCCCCAAGCUGAAUUUUGACGUAAUUUCUCUUGAUGUAGCUAGCAGGUGGCAGAGGUGUAUUUAAAAGUCAGCAGUAUUCUGACAGCGAUUAGAAUGUCCUCCGUCUGCUAGUCUUCUUGAUUCUUAAAUUCUGUGGAGCUCAAAUAGACAACAAAGCUUGUGGAACUAAUUAAGUGUUAGCAUAAAUAUCUAGCCUUCAUCAUGUUGAGCUUCCUCAAUAAAUAUUACUCUCUGUUUUUAUAUUUUUAUUUUAUAAAGAAGAAAAGAAAUAUUUAUUUUAUUUUUAUGCCACCACAGUGAAGGUACUUAUGGGUUUUAUGCCACUCGUAUACUCACAUGGGGCUUAGUAUUUUUUAACAUUUUUAUUUUCUUUUCAAGAUAGCAUGAUUAACUAAUAAUCUAUUUAAGGAAAGUAAAUAAUUAAAGGGAAAAGGGAAUGCAGAAAGGAUAAAUAUGGAUAACUACCGAUCUUACCUUUCGGCGAUGGUUCAAUGUUUUAAGUCUUCUUAACAAGACUUCUCACCGUGUUCAUUCUUCAGGUGCGUCAUUUGAUUCAGGAGCGGAACUUGACGUCUGCACCUCUUGAUACGGUGUCACCCAUGUUCUUCGUUUGCCCAGCAGUUCGAAGUGCGGCGUUGGCAGUAACCUGCUCAGUGUGUUUGUGCUCGUAGAUCCAGGUCCUUCACUUGGUAGAGUCUGAGAGUUAUAAAACUCCUCCGUGUUUUGCUCAAAGUGUACCUACUCAUAGAGACAAGGCAGAGAUCAAGUGCAUGGGUCCUGUUGGUGGAAAACACCAACAGAACCUAAAGUGUAUUUGUUCUUCUCUAACCCUAAGCAUAGUGAGCAAGACAAAGUUGAUGGAUGAAAAGUUCAUGAGUGUAGUACUUAUAACAUUUGUCAGAUCAGAUCGCUCAACCUUAUGGAAAGAUAAUCUAUCUAUGUAUAUGUCUUUUUCUUUAUAUCUCUCAAUGAUUGAAUGUGUAACAUUUUAGCUCAUAUGAUUAGGAGUGUGGGAUCAUGGAGGUAGUACUAAGAACAAGGGUUAAAGGACUAAACAUGUUGAAUCAGUUGGGUUGGUUAAUCUAGAGUUGUAAAUCAUACAUGUUUGUCUCUUUUAUUUAUAUGAACGCCAUAACCAAGGAGAAGCUUAUAGAAGUGAUAGUCAAGUACCUUAGAUGUUACCUUGCUUGAAGAGUGAUGGUACAAUAUCACCUUGUGGAAGCUUUCCUUUCUUAGCGGUUGUGCAUCGUGUUUGUGGUACCCUCCAUGGAUCAUCUCUCUAUGAUGAAUGAGCUAUGUCCUUCUUGUGCAAAUUGUUAAACUUCAUGUGUCACUCUCUUCGUCUCUGAUGUGAGUUUAUCUCAGGACUUUCCAAAUCGAUAUUGAAAGUUUUUCUGCAGGGGUUAGUCCGACAAAAAUAUACCAGUGUCUACACAAGCAGUUUUUAGUUCAAUAACCGAACUAGACUCCAUGUCUAAUCAGAUUAAGGAAGGCUGUUUAACCUAAGCACCAUGCUUAAUUUAAAAGCCAAUAGAAGUAUGUGCAGUACUUCCAAACUAACACUUACUAGUAAAUAGACAAAGGUAACAUGACAACAUUUAUAG